AGUGAACGCUGGCGGUAGGCCUAACACAUGCAAGUCGAACGGCAGCACAGAGGAGCUUGCUCCUUGGGUGGCGAGUGGCGGACGGGUGAGGAAUACAUCGGAAUCUACUCUGUCGUGGGGGAUAACGUAGGGAAACUUACGCUAAUACCGCAUACGACCUACGGGUGAAAGCAGGGGACCUUCGGGCCUUGCGCGAUUGAAUGAGCCGAUGUCGGAUUAGCUAGUUGGCGGGGUAAAGGCCCACCAAGGCGACGAUCCGUAGCUGGUCUGAGAGGAUGAUCAGCCACACUGGAACUGAGACACAGUCCAGCCUCCUACGGGAGUCAGCAGUGGGGAAUAUUGGACAAUGGGCGCAGGCCUGAUCCAGCCAUACCGCGUGGGUGAAGAAGGCCUUCGGGUUGUAAAGCCCUUUUGUUGGGAAAGAAAUCCAGCUGGCUAAUACCCGGUUGGGAUGACGGUACCCAAAGAAUAAGCACCGGCUAACUUCGUGCCAGCCGCCGCGGUAA
RNAcentral lists this ribosomal RNA (506 nucleotides) under uncultured bacterium. RNAcentral describes it as "partial 16S ribosomal RNA". It matches the Rfam family "Bacterial small subunit ribosomal RNA", at positions 29 to 523 of the family's 1533-position model. The record is from RNAcentral.